This 430-nucleotide ribosomal RNA is filed under the name Verrucomicrobiota bacterium. RNAcentral's name for it is "Verrucomicrobia bacterium partial 16S ribosomal RNA". It matches the Rfam family "Bacterial small subunit ribosomal RNA", at positions 355 to 776 of the family's 1533-position model. The record is from RNAcentral. Lineage: Bacteria; Pseudomonadati; Verrucomicrobiota.
UGGGGAAUCUUCCGCAAUGGACGAAAGUCUGACGGAGCAACGCCGCGUGAGUGAUGACGGUCUUCGGAUUGUAAAGCUCUGUUAAUCGGGACGAAUGGUUUGUGUGCAAAUAGUGCAUAGACAUGACGGUACCGGAAUAGAAAGCCACGGCUAACUACGUGCCAGCAGCCGCGGUAAUACGGAAGGUUCGGGCGUUAUCCGGAUUUAUUGGGUUUAAAGGGAGCGUAGGCCGUUUGGUAAGCGUGUUGUGAAAUGUAGGAGCUCAACUUCUAGAUUGCAGCGCGAACUGUCAGACUUGAGUGCGCACAACGUAGGCGGAAUUCAUGGUGUAGCGGUGAAAUGCUUAGAUAUCAUGAAGAACUCCGAUUGCGAAGGCAGCUCACGGGAGCGCAACUGACGCUGAAGCUCGAAGGUGCGGGUAUCGAACAGG